This 670-nucleotide unclassified non-coding RNA is filed under the name Leishmania donovani. RNAcentral's name for it is "gene:unknown". Lineage: Eukaryota; Euglenozoa; Kinetoplastea; Trypanosomatida; Trypanosomatidae. The record is from RNAcentral.
AGCGACUGCGCCGAUACGGUCGAGCGUAGCUGCACACACACAAACACACACACACACACACUUAAAGCACUCGCUCUCAUCCUCUCCAUGUUGGAGAGCGCGUGCUUGUGAGCCGUGCGUACUUUGAUGUCAGCAUACAUAUGUUCAGCAUCUGCUCCUGACGGAGGAAGGUUUAUGUUUUCCUGUUUCUUCUUCGUCUUCCCGUGGUGGUUGGGGAGGGGAGGAGUGGGCAGUGUUGUCUUGUGAGGAGAAAGAUCUCCACAAGCCAUCGAUCGCGUUUAUGUCUUUCGCAUAUGUGUGCUUGCGAACUUACAUCUGGGCGUACUCGUGCCGGCGCAUCAAUGUUCACGGGGGCGGCAUCGGGCUGUGGUGGACGUGGUGGAUGCAUCAUGCGCACGCUCAAACGCAUGGAAACAAAGGGCUUGAGCUUUCCUCUGUAAACUCGACUCGGAGGCAAGCAAGCGGCUAGCCGCCUUUGUCUCUCCGCCCGCCGCCGGCCGGCCACAGUGCAGUGCGGAUCAUCCUUCACCUUGCCGCAUUCUCCUUCCGAAUCUUCUUCUUUCGUUCGGCCUUCCUUGUACGCUUGCGUGUGUCUGUGUGUGCGUGCGUGCUUGUUCGCGGUGCUCCGCACCCUUACCGCUCUCGCCCUUGCCAAUGCCUGCUCUCGCAG